RNAcentral lists this unclassified non-coding RNA (222 nucleotides) under uncultured fungus. Its description in RNAcentral is "sequence contains ITS1". The record is from RNAcentral. Lineage: Eukaryota; Fungi.
GUAUAAGUUUACCGACGCUUUUUUAAGGCGAAGAUAUUGAUUUACAUUCUGUUAGACAUGCGUCGAUGAAAUGAGACGUAGGGACCCUUUUUACAGGCCCUUACAUUAGGUUCACAAGUGUGUGUGGAUUAAGGGCUCGGGCGUGCACGUGCCCCGAAAGGCCAGCUACAACCCUCACCGGUAAUUUCAAUAAUGAUCCUUCCGCAGGUUCACCUACGGAAA